UUUGGUGGUCAUAGCGCGAGUGAAACACCGGAUUCCAUUCCGAACUCCUUGGUUAAGCACCGUUGCGCCGAUUGUACUGCGUCUCAAGGCGUGGGAGAGUAGGUCGCUGCCAACC
This 115-nucleotide ribosomal RNA is filed under the name Paracoccaceae bacterium. Lineage: Bacteria; Pseudomonadati; Pseudomonadota; Alphaproteobacteria; Rhodobacterales; Paracoccaceae. The record is from RNAcentral.